CCUGCCGGACCUGACUGCUAUCGGAUUGAUACUAAGCCAUGCGAGUCUUUGUAGUAAUACAAGGCAGACGGCUCAGUAACACGUAGUCAACCUACCCUAUGGACAAGAAUAAUCUCGGGAAACUGGGCAUAAUUCUUGAUAGAUCAUAAUGCCUGGAAUGGUUUAUGGUUAAAAUGAUUCGUCGCCAUAGGAUGGGACUGCGGCCUAUCAGCUUGUUGGUGAGGUAAUGGCCCACCAAGGCGAUUACAGGUACGGGCUCUGAGAGGAGAAGCCCGGAGAUGGGUACUGAGACACGGACCCAGGCCCUAUGGGGCGCAGCAGGCGAGAAAACUUUGCAAUGUGCGAAAGCACGACAAGGUUAAUCCGAGUGAUUUCUGCUAAAGAAAUCUUUUGCCAGUCAUAAAACCACUGGUGAAUAAGGGGUGGGCAAGUUCUGGUGUCAGCCGCCGCGGUAAAACCAGCACCUCAAGUGGUCAGGAUGAUUAUUGGGCCUAAAGCAUCCGUAGCCGGCUUUGUAAGUUUUCGGUUAAAUCCAUGUGCUCAACGCAUGGGCUGCCGAAAAUACUGCAUGGCUAGGGAGUGGGAGAGGUAGACGGUACUCAGUAGGAAGGGGUAAAAUCCUUUGAUCUAUUGAUGACCACCUGUGGCGAAGGCGGUCUACCAGAACACGUUCGACGGUGAGGGAUGAAAGCUGGGGGAGCAAACCGGAUUAGAUACCCGGGUAGUCCCAGCUGUAAACGAUGCAGACUCGAUGAUGCAUUGGCAUAAUAGCCAUUGCAGUGUCGCAGGGAAGCCGUUAAGUCUGCCGCCUGGGAAGUACGUACGCAAGUAUGAAACUUAAAGGAAUUGGCGGGGGAGCACCAC
RNAcentral lists this ribosomal RNA (864 nucleotides) under uncultured marine group I thaumarchaeote. Its description in RNAcentral is "SSU rRNA". It matches the Rfam family "Archaeal small subunit ribosomal RNA", at positions 13 to 882 of the family's 1478-position model. The record is from RNAcentral. Lineage: Archaea; Thermoproteati; Nitrososphaerota.